CCAAGAGAAGAGGAUAGGAGACUCUGCCGUCAGAUGGCGUUGCCUGUUCUUCUCUCCCCAGUUUGCAGAGUUGGAUGUGACCUCAGCACUGGAUAAGGGGUAAGUGAUUCCUCCAUCCUGACCAGAAGGUAAUCUCUACUUGUCUUGUGCUGUGUGGAACAGGUUGCAGUGGAGAAGUGCAGUUGUCCGGGGCGCUGCAAGGACUCUAUUGAGGCAUUUGGUGGACGCCGCAGGAACCCACAGCCAGAGGUGGAUGCCAAGAUGCACAUCUUCCUCUGUCUGGCAAGCUCUGCUGACCCCUGAGGUUUUUCCCACGCUUGCAGAGGUUGUAUGGGCUUGGUGUUGGUUGUUGCUUGUGCUCACCUUGCUGUCACCGGGUGUUCUUCCUUUGCCCAUCAUAGGGCUCCCCCGUUCUGGUGGGAUCUCCGUGCCUUCUGCUGAUCCCAGAGAACAUGGGUUCGUUUUCUUAUAUCCAGGUUCACUAUGUUUUCUUGCUGUUAUGUGAUGUUUGCCUUAGUUUUUUUAUUUUUUAUUUUUUUUCCGGGCUGCUUAUUGAUCCAUCCUGGGUCUGCAAUAAACCAAAUGAUUUCUGGUAAGGUUUGAGCAAGUGAGAUGGAAAAUCAAGUGGUAAACUCCAAAACAGGCUUGCAGUGAGUGUGUCGUAUGACUUGGGGUUUCUAGCUUGACAUCUGUUUUUUUUUUUUUUUUUUUUUUUUUUUUUUUUUUAAAGCCAUUUGGUUCAGUACCUGAUAGGAAAGUUUCUUUCCUUCUAGUAUUGGAGACUUAUCCACCACAUGGUGAUGCCUUCCCUGACCUCCUUGAUUGCAGUGUGGGAUGUGCCCUGAUCCUUGGAAAGGGGUGAGUGAUUCCUUCAUCCUUACUAGAAGGUAAUCUCUACUUACCUUUUCUUGUGUCCAUCAGGUGGCACUGGAGAGUUGUGACCCUGCUGAGCAGUGCAAGGACUCUACUGAGGCUCUUGGUGGACACAGCAAGUACCCACACCCAUAGGUGGAUGCCAAUAUCUAUUCCUUCCUGUCUGGCAAGCUCUGUUGUCCCCUGAGGUCGUUCCCAUGCUUGCAGAGGUCCUAUGGACUUGUUGGUUGUCGCUUGUGCUCACUGGGCUUAUCAAGGGUGUUCCGCUUGCUUGACACCACCUUUCCCAUUCUCUAUUUCCAAGCAGGAGCUCCCUUUGGCCUCCAUGUCUCGCUCUGGCCAGGCAGAUGUGGUGUGCCAACGGAUCAGAGCCUUCAGAAUCCAACCAAAAGAAAUGAGGAGAGAGGCUGCCCUGGGUGAGACAGGAGAAGUGCCCCUUGAAGCGGGGGACGCCCCGCUGGCACUGCCUCUCACAUCCAUCGGCAGCACAUUCCUUUUCUCUCCUUGCCGCCUGGCGCUUUGCCAUCUCCCAGUGCUUGCCAAGUCCAAGUAUUCCCUGAUGGAGUCCAACUCCAGCUCGACCAUCACUCACCCGGUCUGUCCCCACACCAGCUGGCUUAGGGCUCUCCAGUACUGCUGGAUGUCAGUGCCUUCUGUUGCUCCCUGUCAACAUGGUGGUGUUCUUUCUUUUUAGGUUCAGUAAUGUGUCUUCUUGUUAUGCAGUGUUACUCUUCUCUAUUUUCUUGUGUUUCAUGUUGCCUGUCAAUGCCUCUUUGGAGAUACACUGAGUGAAAUGUAAACUGAUGUUCUUUGACCAAGUGUGAUGGAAAAUGAAGAUGUAGGCUCCACUACAGCUAUUGUUCGAAGCGGGAAGGACCAUUUUGACUAUUUGUCAACGCCCACCUGGCAAUCUGAAUUUAGGAGCCGCUUUCAUGGACGUGUCGCUGCAGGGCAAAGAAGGCCUCAAAACUUCAGUGGACCUCUACCCCCAAAAGAGCUCUGAAACUUAUGUUAAGAAAAUAAAUGUCUUAAUAUUUUUCUGUCUUCUAUAGUUUUAACUGUUGCUUUAGCUUGGCUGGAAAACAGGCAUGUAAAACUAAUUGAAAAUCUUGCUGAAGGAAGGUUUUAGUGUUUCAGACUGUUGGGUUUGUAUGACUCUCCCAAGAAGUGUAGGAAGUGUGCCAAUUUACGCAGCAGUUGCACUAAAUUGAACAAUACUGAAUUAUGUAACAAAUCAGAUGGAAAACGGUGGAAAUUGUAAAUGCGUGGAUGAAAAUCAGAGUAAGGUCGUUGAUUUGUUUGUUUGCUUGUUUUUUUUUUUUUUUUUUUUUUUGUUGUUGUUAUUAUUACUAAUACCUGAACCAUUUUUAUAGACAGGAAUGACAACAGUGCAAACCAUAUAAACUUUGGGUGCAGGAACCUGUCAGGUGUAGGGUGUUGUUGGGAAUAUGGCAAUUUUGGGAUGCUUACGAGAUAUAAUGAGACUGCUCGAUGGCAGCAAGGCAGGUACUGUGAUCCUAGGGCCACUAACAAUACAGUGCAGUCUGGAGAUAAAGAUAUAUUAGCUAUAGCGGGCAUGGGGACUGCAUCAAUGUAGCAUAGGCAAAAACACUGUCAGCUCCUCUUUGGGUAUUGGUGGAUGUGUGCGAAAUAAAUACGCAUGUGAAAUUCUCCCAUUGAAUUGGACUGGGACAUGCACAGCAGGUUAUCUGAUGCCUCACACAAGUAUCUACACUUGCAUAGAGCCACCAUGAGGAUUUUUAAGAGCUAUGCAGCUAUAGAUUAAGAGAGGGAAUACUCCACUAGUUGAAAGGACUAUGGGAUUCCAUAGUUUUAUUUGAUGGGUACUUUCAGCUGUCGGAGUCACUGAACUGGAACAAGCAGUUGUGAAUGUAUUAGUCACUAUGGAAAGAAUUGAGAACCUAAGUUUAGAAGCCAUCCAGGGUCUUCAGACAGAGAUCUCACGCUGAGUAAAUCAGUCUUGCAGAAUAGAAUGGCCCUCGACAUUCUUACCGCAAAGGUAUGAGGGGUCUCUAUGAUUAUUAACCGAAGUCACUGCGCUUACAUGGACUGAAAUGUACACGUAGAGAGUGAUUUAUAAGCCAUUUGGAGAGGCGUUUGAGAGCUACACCAAGUCUCCUUACAUGACCCUUCUGCUGGAAUCAUGGAUAUGUGGAAUAAGCUUUGUAACUGGCUGCCUAACUUUGUGUGGCUAAAGUGACCAGUUGUAGUUGUACUGACGAUCCUCAUUGUGAUAACCUGCAUAGGUGCGAGGUGUUCUUUCUGGUGCUAUUGAAAAAUGGUAGAUGAGCGCUCCACCUAGAAGAGGUACCGUGUGAAAUGUCAGGUAGAAACGGGGAAAUAGUUCUGGAACACAUUACUUGACAGUUGGGCACUGAAAGCAAAAGCCUUUGCAUAACCUAUAGAAAAGGGUGGAUUGUAUCAAGGGAAGUAUAAAUCUGGACCUCAUAGUAUGUGCCAAGUUGGGAAGGAACACAGAAAGUGGUGGAACGUGAGGUCUGUGAGUACAAGGAAGAUAAGGGCGGAGAGCUGAUGACACAAUGGAAGGUCCAUUGAAGGUCAGCGGAGUUUCUCUUUGUAACUGAAUAUGCAGUCCCAUGAACAUAAGGAGGCAGAGCUGCCAUUGCUGAGCAUAAGGAAGUGAAGUUGCUGUUGCGACACAAUGCAAGCCUGACCUUCUGAAGUUGGAAGCUCUCAGCGAGGUAUGCUGAUCACCUUCAUCCAACACUGACCAGAGAACCGCGCUGCUUCUUUAGGACCAUGACAGUAGGGUGGGGCAAUGUGUUAAUAAUGUCUUGGAAUUCCACCCAUCUUUCUUGCAAUGUAAUUAAUGUUUGUAUGUUAUGUUUUAAAAUAUGUAACCAUUGCUAUCCUGGCUGUGCGAGUUAGGAGAUUUCUCGUUGCAUCUUACGUUGUAAUAAAAAUGCCUCUUGAGUGA
This is a long non-coding RNA of Gallus gallus (chicken), 3832 nucleotides long. RefSeq lists it as uncharacterized. NCBI's taxonomy places the organism in Eukaryota, Metazoa, Chordata, Aves, Galliformes, Phasianidae. The record is from RefSeq and is a predicted model, not a curated record. The transcript has 3 exons.